Populus euphratica (Euphrates poplar) is the source of this 1398-nucleotide long non-coding RNA. RefSeq lists it as uncharacterized. Lineage: Eukaryota; Viridiplantae; Streptophyta; Magnoliopsida; Malpighiales; Salicaceae. The transcript has 3 exons. The record is from RefSeq and is a predicted model, not a curated record.
CGCAUUUCAUUUUAGAUUGCCAAUGAAUAGGCUAAAUACGCGCGGUUUAGUUUUUCCCUUAAUUGUUUUAUCUAUUCCAAAAUCACAACCCUGAAUAUUUAUUGUUUAAAGAUUUCUCCCAACAACAACAACAAUCAACGACACCUGGUGGCCUGAAAGAAGACCUCACAAUCAAUGUUCUCUUUAGGAAGCCAGGCAGGAAGUACGCCUUUUCGUUUCUCUUCUGGACGAGCAAUAUCAAUAGGAGCAAUAUAUAAUUUAAUUUCCUUUUAUAGAGAUAUCUUUUUUUUUUUCUAUGGCAUAGAUUUCUUCUACACUCUAAUUUGCAAGGUAAAACUGAUGACGCCGAAAAAUUGGUGGAUGAGAUGAGGGAGGAUGAGUUGUUUGCAAUAUUCAUUAUAUGUCUGCUUCGGGAUGUGUUGACGGCAAAGAUUAUGGUUUUUUUUUUUUUUUGCGGGUUGAUUUCGACUCUGUUUAGAGAGGAAGAGGGUUGCGAUUUCUGGGUAGAUUUCGGGUUUGAAGGAGGUUGAAAUUGGUGGAGAUUUUUGGGUUAUUGGUUGCUGCUUCAGGCUGGAUUUUUGGGUUUGUUCAAGUGGUAGGGUUUGGCGCGAUUUGUGGGGUUGUUCAACAUAGAGAGAGGCUGUGAUUGUAGUGGGCUGCUGCAAUUUUGGGCUGGAACCAUGGUGGCUGUUCGGGCACUCUCCUAUUUCUUUCUGUGUCAGAAAACUGUUCGAUAAAAGUCAUUUUGAUGGAGGAUGGUGGAGGUGGCCACUUCCUGGAUGGAUUUGAAUAAGAGAGUAAUGUAGGUGAAAUUGAAGCUAACGAGAAUAGUGGAGGUGGCAAUGUGAGAUCACCCACUUUGAUGCUUGUUAGUAAACUAAUUGAUGGUUAUCUUUCUGAGAUUGCAUCAGAUGCAAAUUUUAGCCUGAUAGAUUCUAUAAUCUUGCAAUUUAACUACCGGAGCAAGCUAGACCCUUUGAUGAUGGCCUUUACCGAGUUGUAGAUGUCUAUCUCAAGGCACAUCCAUGGAUAUCAGAGGCAGAGUGAGAGAAGAUACAUGGAGUAAUCCAUCAUGAACUUGCAAGCCAUCAUCAGUGUGGCUGCUCAGAAAAUUAAGACCAAUUGUACUUCUCGAUAAGAUAUGAGUCCAGUGAGACUAUUAUCCUGCUCUUACACUAUAGAAGAAGCUGGGAUGGUAAAGUACACAGAGCUAAGGUACUUGCUCUUGAAGAAGAAGUCAUCAAUGCAAUGCAGCAAGUCCUUGGGAUAGUUGAAUACAGAAAGAACAUGUGGUAUAGGGUUUUUUCGGGCAUUUUAUAUUUUUUACUGAAGUAUAAUUAUUCUAUUAUUCGUAGAUUCAAAUUUCCAAUAGCUUGACUUGAUUUGAGGGGCUAGUUU